UUUACACUUUUAUUGUAUUGUAAUAAAAAAAUGAAAAUAUUUAUAUUUUUUGCGUCGCUGUUCACAAUUUUUAACAUUGUUUUAUGUGAUAACAGCAUCUGGGACAUAUUCGGAAGUUUGGAAAAAGUGGAGUCGGAAGCGACAUAUGAUUUUCAUAGAGUGGUCGAAAUCAUACCGAAACUUAUCGACGUCAUUAAUGGACCCAUCAACCACCUUUCGCAAAUACCAAAAGUGGACGAAGUGUUCCACGACUUUGGGUCAUGCUUCUCUAAUGGUAUUAUGAAGCUGAUUAACCACUUCGUGCCGGCACCAUUCGUGCCGUUGCUCACGAAACCGCUCUGCCACUGGCUUAAGAACCUAUCACUUACUCCGGAGUUCUGUAAGCAGAAUUAUUAUAAUGACAAAUGAUUAAAAGUUUGAUGGUAAAU
Aricia agestis (brown argus) is the source of this 428-nucleotide long non-coding RNA. RefSeq lists it as uncharacterized. NCBI's taxonomy places the organism in Eukaryota, Metazoa, Arthropoda, Insecta, Lepidoptera, Lycaenidae. The record is from RefSeq and is a predicted model, not a curated record. The transcript has 3 exons.